UACGGAGGGUGCGAGCGUUAUCCGGAAUUACUGGGUUUAAAGGGUGCGUAGGCGGCGCAGUAAGUCAGGAGUGAAAGUUUGCGGCUCAACCGUAAAAUUGCUUUUGAUACUGCUGUGCUAGAAUUAGGAUGAGGUCAGCGGAAUGUGGCAUGUAGCGGUGAAAUGCAUAGGUAUGCCAUAGAACACCAAUUGCGAAGGCAGCUGGCUAGACCUAUAUUGACGCUGAGGCACGAAAGCGUGGGGAGCGAACAGG
This 253-nucleotide ribosomal RNA is filed under the name uncultured bacterium. RNAcentral describes it as "partial 16S ribosomal RNA". It matches the Rfam family "Bacterial small subunit ribosomal RNA", at positions 524 to 776 of the family's 1533-position model. The record is from RNAcentral.